AGCUUACACUCUAAUGCUGGCCAAUAAUGCUACAAAAUAUCCAAAACUUCACGCCAUGAAAAGAAAAGUUGUUUGGUUGUAUGUGCUUUCUAAUAUACAUACAUAGACCUUACUAAAAUACAUAUUUUAAUAUAAGUAUAUUAAACUUUCAGUCUUACAAAUGUAAUCUACAACCUAUCGUAUAAUUCGUUAUAUCUAGAUUAACAACAAGUACAAAUGUGAUCUUCAAAGGUUCAAAGGCUAUCAGGGUCGUAAUUUUGAUGUCGAAAUUUUGGAUAUCAUUCAUAGAUCUACCUCUGAGCUUACUGCUUGGGCAAUUCAAAGAGAAUACGAAAAGGAGAGAAGGCGGCAAAUUCAGCAAAAGCAAAUUUUAGGCAGACCAAAUGACGACUUUCGCAGAAAGAUCUUAGAAGAAUUGAAACAAUGUUUUUUAAUUAGUCAGGAAGAAGAAAUCAAAAACGAAGAAAUCAAAAAGCUGGAAGUAGAAAUGAUGAAAGACCGAAUCCACGAAGAACUCCUCUGGUUUAAGCAUGAGAAAGAACUUAAGAAAGAACUAGAAGUGGCUAAGGGAAUGUUUUUUCAAUUAUUAGAUGUUCGGGUAAAGUAGAUAGUUAUUUAUUGUCCAUUUUCCAAAACAAUACAAAUAUUGUCUUCUCAUGUUACAAUUAUGCUAAUAUAUAUUUCUGACUAUAUAACAACUAAAAGUUACUUUGGAUUUCUUGCUACAUAUUUCCAACUCUGUUGCAAGUAUAGGUUGAGGCCUUUAUGGCUAGACAUUUACCAGGUUCUACAAAUAUUUGUAAUAACCAGUUGAUUUCUCCGAACAUUACUUUAGGAUUGUAAUAGUAUAUAGUUCUCUUUAAAAGGAUUAGUUGGAAAGACACUACAAGUCACAAAAAAGCAAUUUUAUUGAACUCAGUGGUGUCGUAGUGGGGUUGACCC
Long non-coding RNA from Limulus polyphemus (Atlantic horseshoe crab), 942 nucleotides. RefSeq lists it as uncharacterized. The transcript is spliced from 3 exons. NCBI's taxonomy places the organism in Eukaryota, Metazoa, Arthropoda, Merostomata, Xiphosura, Limulidae. The record is from RefSeq and is a predicted model, not a curated record.